AGUGAACGCUGGCGGUAGGCCUAACACAUGCAAGUCGAACGGCAGCACAGUAAGAGCUUGCUCUUACGGGUGGCGAGUGGCGGACAGGUGAGGAAUACAUCGGAAUCUACUUUUUCGUGGGGGAUAACGUAGGGAAACUUACGCUAAUACCGCAUACGACCUACGGGUGAAAGCAGGGGAUCUUCGGACCUUGCGCGAUUGAAUGAGCCGAUGUCGGAUUAGCUAGUUGGCGGGGUAAAGGCCCACCAAGGCGACGAUCCGUAGCUGGUCUGAGGGGAUGAUCAGCCACACUGGAACUGAGACACGGUCCAGACUCCUACGGGAGGCAGCAGUGGGGAAUAUUGGACAAUGGGCGCAAGCCUGAUCCAGCCAUACCGCGUGGGUGAAGAAGGCCUUCGGGUUGUAAAGCCCUUUUGUUGGGAAAGAAAGGCAGCAGGUUAAUACCCCGCUGUUCUGACGGUACCCAAAGAAUAAGCACCGGCUAACUUCGUG
RNAcentral lists this ribosomal RNA (492 nucleotides) under uncultured bacterium. RNAcentral's name for it is "partial 16S ribosomal RNA". It matches the Rfam family "Bacterial small subunit ribosomal RNA", at positions 29 to 507 of the family's 1533-position model. The record is from RNAcentral.